RNAcentral lists this unclassified non-coding RNA (393 nucleotides) under soil metagenome. RNAcentral's name for it is "partial contains 5.8S ribosomal RNA, internal transcribed spacer 2, and large subunit ribosomal RNA". The stretch from base 1 to 122 matches the Rfam family "5.8S ribosomal RNA", at positions 35 to 154 of the family's 154-position model. The record is from RNAcentral.
GAUGAAGAACGCAGCGAAAUGCGAUACUUGGUGUGAAUUGCAGAAUCCCGUGAACCAUCGAGUCUUUGAACGCAAGUUGCGCCCGAAGCCACUAGGCCGAGGGCACGCCUGCCUGGGCGUCACACGUCGUUGCCCCCCCCCCAUCUACUCCUUCGGGAUUGCGGGGGGCGGAUGAUGGCCUCCCGUGCGCCUAGCCGCGCGGUUGGCAUAAAUACCAAGUCCUCGGCGACGCAUGCCACGACAAUCGGUGGUUGCGAAACCUCGGUUGCCCGUCGUGUGCGUUCGUCGCGCAUCGAGGGCUCGAAAAAAUGCUCGGCUCCGGCUCGGCUUUCAACGCGACCCCAGGUCAGGCGGGGUUACCCGCUGAAUUUAAGCAUAUCAAUAAGCGGAGGA